RNAcentral lists this ribosomal RNA (321 nucleotides) under uncultured soil bacterium. RNAcentral describes it as "bacterial SSU rRNA". It matches the Rfam family "Bacterial small subunit ribosomal RNA", at positions 26 to 371 of the family's 1533-position model. The record is from RNAcentral.
AGAACGAACGCUGGCGGCAUGCCUAACACAUGCAAGUCGAACGAGACCUUCGGGUCUAGUGGCGCACGGGUGCGUAACGCGUGGGAAUCUGCCCUUGGGUUCGGAAUAACAGUUGGAAACGACUGCUAAUACCGGAUGAUGACGUAAGUCCAAAGAUUUAUCGCCCAGGGAUGAGCCCGCGUAGGAUUAGCUAGUUGGUGAGGUAAAGGCUCACCAAGGCGACGAUCCUUAGCUGGUCUGAGAGAUGAUCAGCCACACUGGGACUGAGACGACGGCCCAGACUCCGUACGGGAGGCAGCAGGUACGGGGAAUAGUUAGGAC